AGCCCGCCCAGCGCCUCCUUCCGCCCCAGUCGCAGGCUGCUGACGCUCCCGCCGCCUCCGCCCCCGCCAGCCCUGCCUGGAGCCGGGGAGUGGCCGCCGCCAGUGCCCGGAUUGAAGUGAUGUGGAGAGCCCUGUGUGCCCUGGUGGUACGGGGGAUGUAAUCAGGAGGCAAGGAGAAGCAAAGGAGGAGAGUAUUGCCUCAUCUUCUGCUCACAACAAGCCCAGGCCACCUGGCAUGGGAGGGGUAUGGGCAUAGCAGAGAGCGUGUGAAUCACCCUGGACGUGCAGCUCAGUGCAGAGAUCUCUGGAGUAAUCACCCCACCUUUCCAUCCUGAGCUGCAGAACUCAACAUGUAUAAGUCAGUAUUCGCUAAGAUACCAUCCCAGCAUGGAAAGAUUCUCAGCUGCAUCUUGGCUUUGGGACAAACCAGCUCACAAAGGGACCAGUGGAAGUCACUGUUUUUGCGAAUUUCAGGUGAGCUUUAGAUGGGUCAGAUCCCAGAGCUCCCGUGCCCAUCUUUAGCAGGAAAUCACCCACUCUCCAAUAAAAGCUUAAGACUUCUUUUUUUUUUGGCACAUGACAAGCAGAGGAUUCGCUGUGCUUUACACAACCACCCUACUUCCUUUCACUUUAAGCUGUAAAACGAGCCCACGGCUUCGCAGGU
Molecule: long non-coding RNA, 664 nt
Organism: Lepidothrix coronata (blue-crowned manakin)
Lineage: Eukaryota; Metazoa; Chordata; Aves; Passeriformes; Pipridae
Exons: 4
Source: RefSeq, a predicted model, not a curated record